CAAAUUAAAGCUUUAAGAAGUAUUUUAUUUACAUUAAAAAGAUUAUUAAUUAAUAUAAUUUGA
RNAcentral lists this transfer RNA (63 nucleotides) under Phloeotribus sp. BMNH 1047247. RNAcentral describes it as "tRNA-Val". The record is from RNAcentral. Lineage: Eukaryota; Metazoa; Arthropoda; Insecta; Coleoptera; Curculionidae.